UCUACACAUUCAGCCAGUGUCUUAUAUCCACAGCCUUACUCUUUAUUCCUCUGCACGGCGGGCAGUAGAAAGAUGGUCUGUGAAGACAUAUUAUCUGGUUUCAAAUUCCAAUGGCUUCUUAAUUAGCCACAUUAGAAUAUUAGAGAAAGUAAUUUUGUCUCCAAGUGGAGGCUUCACAUUUCUAUAAUGUCUAUCUUGAAAAAUGAAAUAAAGGAGAUGAAUGAAUUAAAAAAAACAACACAAUUUAAUACAAUGUGAUACCAAGCAGCUGUCCCGAUGAUUUGUUUCCUCCCACUUUUCUUUUUAUGGAAGCUAGCUAGUCCUAUUUCCCCAACUAUAAUAAUAUUUUCCCCCCUUAUCCACAAUUUCCUUUUUUUUUGGUGUGGUUUCAAUUACCCAUAGUCAACCAUAGUCCAAAAAUACUGCAUGGAAAAUUCCAGAAAUAAAUAAUUCGUAAGUUUUAAAUUGCCCCCCCUCCCAUUCUGAACACGAGCACUAUGAAACUAUGGCAGUCAACCUGAGUGCUAAAAUGGCUCUCUGCCACUGCUGUCCCCAAGAGCUUCCCUAUACAGAAUUUCUCCCCAUCCACACCCAGGGCCUGAAAGCUCGCCCCUUCUUUUCAUUCUACUUAUGUUCCUAUGCCCUCUCUGGGUCCCUGUGGCUCCCCUCGCCCUAGCAUGGAUACCUACUUUGCUAUGUCUCAUCCUAAUGGCUUCAGGGAAGAAAGAAACAGAGGAGAGAUUUCUCCUCACUGAUACCCCUGACAUAAAUCCUGUCUUCUGAGUUCUCCCAGAAUAAACACUAUCAAUUCAUACUGAAGUUUUUGUGGUUAGUUAUCAUGUCCUAUAUCUUAUUUAUACUGUAAUUCCUUAAAUGACACAAUUUCAAAUAUCCUCCUUCAUUUCUCAAAAAGUAAAAUUUUAUUUCCUCCAUUCUAAUGGAUCUCAUUGGGCAAGAGAAAGGAAGUAACUGGACUAAGCCAGUUUGCACUGGUGUGCCUGAGACAUAUGUAGGUUUCUAGGAAGAUUCAUAUCAACCUAAUUCAAUCUCUGACAGGAAGAAUUUGGGGCAACAUAAGAGAGGAAUGAAAAUAGUACAAUGUGGGGGGAGGAACAUUUUUGAGCAAUGGAAGCUGUUAGCAACAUGGUCAGCCCACUCACUCAGUGUGAGUAGAAAGAAGAAAAGCAAGCCUGGAAAGCUCAGGCCAGAGAGUAGCUGGGAAAGUGCCAUUUCCAAAUGAGAGACAUCUCCACUUGAACAAGGUCUGCUCACAUUCUGCCUCUUUCAUCGCAUGUUUUACCCACUCCCAAUCCCAACCUUCCCUUUCUGAAUUAUCUCUGAACUAUAAUAUAUACACAUAUGCAACUAUUAUAUUGUCAUUGAUUCUUUUUUUUUUAAAGUAUGUUGAUUCCUUCUCUCCAGGGAGGCCUUAAAAUGGUGAGCUGUCUGUACUAUUUAUUUGGGACCAGUCAUAUUUCACUUUACAUUGAUUCACUUAUGAAUGUAUCCUUUACUUCAAAUUAAGCUACUUUUCAAAAGUGACUUUAGAAAGUAAACCACAUUAAAGUAUUCAACAUUGUGCUAACACAUAGCAAGAAUUCAAGUCAUGAUUAGCUUUUUGAAAGCCAUAUAAAUCUGUAAUUAAGAAAAUUAUACACCAUAGUACUGGGGAUUGAAAAUCCAGGGCCUUAAGUGCACAUUCCUUGAACCAUGCCUCUAGCCCUUUUGCUUUUGUUUUUGAGAUCUGGGUCUUUCUAACUUUGCCAAAGCCAACCUGGAGCUCACAAUUCUCUUGGCUCCAUCUUCUAUGGAGCUAAAAUUAUAGGCAUGCACCACCAUGCAUGGCUUAAAUCUGUAUUUA
Molecule: long non-coding RNA, 1861 nt
Organism: Perognathus longimembris pacificus (Pacific pocket mouse)
Lineage: Eukaryota; Metazoa; Chordata; Mammalia; Rodentia; Heteromyidae
Exons: 3
Source: RefSeq, a predicted model, not a curated record